UGCAAGUCGAGCGAACAGAUAAGGAGCUUGCUCCUUUGACGUUAGCGGCGGACGGGUGAGUAACACGUGGAUAACCUACCUAUAAGACUGGGAUAACUUCGGGAAACCGGAGCUAAUACCGGAUAACAUAUUGAACCGCAUGGUUCAAUAGUGAAAGGCGGCUUUGCUGUCACUUAUAGAUGGAUCCGCGCCGUAUUAGCUAGUUGGUAAGGUAACGGCUUACCAAGGCAACGAUACGUAGCCGACCUGAGAGGGUGAUCGGCCACACUGGAACUGAGACACGGUCCAGACUCCUACGGGAGGCAGCAGUAGGGAAUCUUCCGCAAUGGGCGAAAGCCUGACGGAGCAACGCCGCGUGAGUGAUGAAGGUCUUCGGAUCGUAAAACUCUGUUAUCAGGGAAGAACAAAUGUGUAAGUAACUGUGCACAUCUUGACGGUACCUGAUCAGAAAGCCACGGCUAACUACGUGCCAGCAGCCGCGGUAAUACGUAGGUGGCAAGCGUUAUCCGGAAUUAUUGGGCGUAAAGCGCGCGUAGGCGGUUUUUUAAGUCUGAUGUGAAAGCCCACGGCUCAACCGUGGAGGGUCAUUGGAAACUGGAAAACUUGAGUGCAGAAGAGGAAAGUGGAAUUCCAUGUGUAGCGGUG
This 645-nucleotide ribosomal RNA is filed under the name Staphylococcus warneri. RNAcentral's name for it is "bacterial SSU rRNA". It matches the Rfam family "Bacterial small subunit ribosomal RNA", at positions 56 to 683 of the family's 1533-position model. Lineage: Bacteria; Bacillati; Bacillota; Bacilli; Caryophanales; Staphylococcaceae. The record is from RNAcentral.